UUGAGCCGUAUGCGGGGAAACUUGCACGUACGGUUCUUAGCAGGCCGUUGAAAAAAGCCAGAGCGCUUUCCGCUCUGUCAAA
RNAcentral lists this non-coding RNA (82 nucleotides) under Azotobacter beijerinckii. Lineage: Bacteria; Pseudomonadati; Pseudomonadota; Gammaproteobacteria; Pseudomonadales; Pseudomonadaceae. The record is from RNAcentral.